RNAcentral lists this ribosomal RNA (490 nucleotides) under uncultured bacterium. Its description in RNAcentral is "partial 16S ribosomal RNA". It matches the Rfam family "Bacterial small subunit ribosomal RNA", at positions 30 to 507 of the family's 1533-position model. The record is from RNAcentral.
UGAACGCUGGCGGUAGGCCUACCACAUGCACGUCGAACGGCAGCACAGUAAGAGCUUGCUCUUACGGGUGGCGAGUGGCGGACGGGUGAGGAAUACAUCGGAAUCUACUUUUUCGUGGGGGAUAACGUAGGGAAACUUACGCUAAUACCGCAUACGACCUACGGGUGAAAGCAGGGGAUCUUCGGACCUUGCGCGAUUGAAUGAGCCGAUGUCGGAUUAGCUAGUUGGCGGGGUAAAGGCCCACCAAGGCGACGAUCCGUAGCUGGUCUGAGAGGAUGAUCAGCCACACUGGAACUGAGACACGGUCCAGACUCCUACGGGAGGCAGCAGUGGGGAAUAUUGGACAAUGGGCGCAAGCCUGAUCCAGCCAUACCGCGUGGGUGAAGAAGGCCUUCGGGUUGUAAAGCCCUUUUGUUGGGAAAGAAAAGCAGCAGGUUAAUACCCCGCUGUUCUGACGGUACCCAAAGAAUAAGCACCGGCUAACUUCGUG